Long non-coding RNA from Lolium rigidum, 217 nucleotides. RefSeq lists it as uncharacterized. NCBI's taxonomy places the organism in Eukaryota, Viridiplantae, Streptophyta, Magnoliopsida, Poales, Poaceae. The record is from RefSeq and is a predicted model, not a curated record. The transcript is spliced from 3 exons.
GAUCUUGUGAAGCACUGGUCUGAUCCAAAGAAUAUGAAUUUGGCUAAACAGAAUCAGAAAAACCGCGGUAAACUACUUUUACCUAGCCGUACGGGAUCUCGUAACCUUAUAGUGCACAUUCGGCAAAAAAUGUUACAUAAUGCAAGUAAAAGGGAACCAAACAAAGAGAUGACUCUGCCAGAGAUUUUUGAAGCAUGCCAGAAGAACAAACUUGAAG